UACGUAGGGUGCAAGCGUUAAUCGGAAUUACUGGGCGUAAAGCGUGCGCAGGCGGUUCUAUUAGGCAGAUGUGAAAUCCCCGGGCUCAACCUGGGAACUGCAUUUGUGACUGUAGAGCUGGAGUACGGCAGAGGGGGAUGGAAUUCCGCGUGUAGCAGUGAAAUGCGUAGAUAUGCGGAGGAACACCGAUGGCGAAGGCAAUCCCCUGGGCCUGUACUGACGCUCAUGCACGAAAGCGUGGGGAGCAAACAGG
Molecule: ribosomal RNA, 253 nt
Filed under: uncultured bacterium
Lineage: Bacteria
Description: partial 16S ribosomal RNA
Rfam family: Bacterial small subunit ribosomal RNA
Source: RNAcentral